UACGUAGGGUGCGAGCGUAAUCGGAAUUACUGGGCGUAAAGCGUGCGCAGGCGGUUUGUAAGCCAGGUGUGAAAUCCCCGGGCUCAACCUGGGAAUGGCAUUUGGGACUGCAAGGCUGGAGUGCGGCAGAGGAGACUGGAAUUCCUGGUGUAGCAGUGAAAUGCGUAGAUAUCAGGAGGAACACCGAUGGCGAAGGCAGGUCUCUGGGCUGACACUGACGCUCAUGCACGAAAGCGUGGGAG
Molecule: ribosomal RNA, 242 nt
Filed under: uncultured bacterium
Lineage: Bacteria
Description: partial 16S ribosomal RNA
Rfam family: Bacterial small subunit ribosomal RNA
Source: RNAcentral